This 179-nucleotide non-coding RNA is filed under the name Nitrosomonas sp. RNAcentral describes it as "6S RNA". It matches the Rfam family "6S / SsrS RNA". From Rfam's summary of the family: E. coli 6S RNA was the first non coding RNA to be sequenced, but its function was unknown until recently. It consists of 184 nucleotides that fold into an extended hairpin structure with a large single-stranded internal bulge. RNAcentral also lists the same sequence under 1 other name. Lineage: Bacteria; Pseudomonadati; Pseudomonadota; Betaproteobacteria; Nitrosomonadales; Nitrosomonadaceae. The record is from RNAcentral.
AGCUCCCUGCCGUGUACGUUUAAGGCUGAAAUUCUUUGAACCAAUAAUCAAACCAGGUUGUUGACUAAAGUGAUACUGUUGUGCGUACCCUAAAUGGGUUUGCCUGAUGUAUCCGGGAAACGACCACCUUGAACCUUAAGGUUCAAGAUGAUGGUCUUGACGGCAUAAGCGGGGAGCCC